GAUGAAGAACGUAGCGAAAUGCGAUAAGUAAUGUGAAUUGCAGAAUUCAGUGAAUCAUCGAAUCUUUGAACGCACAUUGCGCCCGCUAGUAUUCUGGCGGGCAUGCCUGUCCGAGCGUCAUUUCAACCCUCAAGCCCCCGGGCUUGGUGUUGGGGAUCGGCGAGCCUCCGCGCCCGCCGUCCCCUAAAUCUAGUGGCGGUCUCGCUGUAGCUUCCUCUGCGUAGUAGCACACCUCGCACUGGGAAACAGCGCGGCCACGCCGUUAAACCCCCAACUUCUGAACGUUUGACCUCGGAUCAGGUAGGGAUACCCGCUGAACUUAAGCAUAUCAAUAAGCGGAGGA
This 343-nucleotide unclassified non-coding RNA is filed under the name soil metagenome. RNAcentral describes it as "partial contains 5.8S ribosomal RNA, internal transcribed spacer 2, and large subunit ribosomal RNA". The stretch from base 1 to 120 matches the Rfam family "5.8S ribosomal RNA", at positions 35 to 154 of the family's 154-position model. The record is from RNAcentral.